This 54-nucleotide transfer RNA is filed under the name Furcifer oustaleti (Oustalet's chamelion). RNAcentral's name for it is "tRNA-Cys". The record is from RNAcentral. Lineage: Eukaryota; Metazoa; Chordata; Lepidosauria; Squamata; Chamaeleonidae.
AGUCCGAAAGCUCGAAUUGCAAAUUCGGAUUAGGUACAUAUUUACCUCGGACUU